GAUGAAGAACGUAGCGAAGUGCGAUAAGUAAUGCGAAUUGCAGAAUUCAGUGAAUCAUCGAAUCUUUGAACGCACAUUGCGCCCGCCAGUAUUCUGGCGGGCAUGCCUGUCUGAGCGUCGUUUCGACCCUCGCGCCCGGCUUCUGUCGGGGGCGGUGUUGGGGAUCGGCCACACCCUUCAGUGGGAGGCCGGCCCCUAAAUUCAGUGGCGACCACGCUGUAGCCUCCCCUGCGUAGUACUAAAACCACCUCGCAGGCGGAGAGCGGUGCGGCCCGCCGUAAAACCCCCCAACUUUUACAAGGUCGACCUCAGAUCAGGUAGGAAUACCCGCUGAACUUAAGCAUAUCAAUAAGCGGAGGA
Molecule: unclassified non-coding RNA, 360 nt
Filed under: soil metagenome
Description: partial contains 5.8S ribosomal RNA, internal transcribed spacer 2, and large subunit ribosomal RNA
Rfam family: 5.8S ribosomal RNA (bases 1-120)
Source: RNAcentral